RNAcentral lists this ribosomal RNA (323 nucleotides) under uncultured bacterium. Its description in RNAcentral is "bacterial SSU rRNA". It matches the Rfam family "Bacterial small subunit ribosomal RNA", at positions 28 to 334 of the family's 1533-position model. The record is from RNAcentral.
GACGAACGCUGGCGGCGUGCCUAACACAUGCAAGUCGAACGGAACUUAGCGAAUGAAGUUUUCGGAUGGAUUUUGGUAAGUUUAGUGGCGGACGGGUGAGUAACGCGUGGGUAACCUGCCUCAUACAGGGGGAUAACAGUUAGAAAUGACUGCUAAUACCGCAUAAGACCACAGGGUCGCAUGACCCGGUGGUAAAAACUCCGGUGGUAUGAGAUGGACCCGCGUCUGAUUAGCUAGUUGGUGGGGUAACGGCUCACCAAGGCGACGAUCAGUAGCCGACCUGAGAGGGUGACCGGCCACAUUGGGACUGAGACACGGCCCAA